RNAcentral lists this ribosomal RNA (1412 nucleotides) under Salmonella enterica subsp. enterica serovar Typhimurium. Its description in RNAcentral is "partial 23S ribosomal RNA". It matches the Rfam family "Bacterial large subunit ribosomal RNA", at positions 1542 to 2925 of the family's 2925-position model. Lineage: Bacteria; Pseudomonadati; Pseudomonadota; Gammaproteobacteria; Enterobacterales; Enterobacteriaceae. The record is from RNAcentral.
CCGGUUCACUUUAACACUGAGGCGUGAUGACGAGGCACUACGGUGCUGAAGCAACAAAUGCCCUGCUUCCAGGAAAAGCCUCUAAGCAUCAGGUAACAUCAAAUCGUACCCCAAACCGACACAGGUGGUCAGGUAGAGAAUACCAAGGCGCUUGAGAGAACUCGGGUGAAGGAACUAGGCAAAAUGGUGCCGUAACUUCGGGAGAAGGCACGCUGACACGUAGGUGAAGUGAUUUACUCACGGAGCUGAAGUCAGUCGAAGAUACCAGCUGGCUGCAACUGUUUAUUAAAAACACAGCACUGUGCAAACACGAAAGUGGACGUAUACGGUGUGACGCCUGCCCGGUGCCGGAAGGUUAAUUGAUGGGGUCAGCGCAAGCGAAGCUCCUGAUCGAAGCCCCGGUAAACGGCGGCCGUAACUAUAACGGUCCUAAGGUAGCGAAAUUCCUUGUCGGGUAAGUUCCGACCUGCACGAAUGGCGUAAUGAUGGCCAGGCUGUCUCCACCCGAGACUCAGUGAAAUUGAACUCGCUGUGAAGAUGCAGUGUACCCGCGGCAAGACGGAAAGACCCCGUGAACCUUUACUAUAGCUUGACACUGAACAUUGAGCCUUGAUGUGUAGGAUAGGUGGGAGGCUUUGAAGUGUGGACGCCAGUCUGCAUGGAGCCGACCUUGAAAUACCACCCUUUAAUGUUUGAUGUUCUAACGUGGACCCGUAAUCCGGGUUGCGGACAGUGUCUGGUGGGUAGUUUGACUGGGGCGGUCUCCUCCUAAAGAGUAACGGAGGAGCACGAAGGUUGGCUAAUCCUGGUCGGACAUCAGGAGGUUAGUGCAAUGGCAUAAGCCAGCUUGACUGCGAGCGUGACGGCGCGAGCAGGUGCGAAAGCAGGUCAUAGUGAUCCGGUGGUUCUGAAUGGAAGGGCCAUCGCUCAACGGAUAAAAGGUACUCCGGGGAUAACAGGCUGAUACCGCCCAAGAGUUCAUAUCGACGGCGGUGUUUGGCACCUCGAUGUCGGCUCAUCACAUCCUGGGGCUGAAGUAGGUCCCAAGGGUAUGGCUGUUCGCCAUUUAAAGUGGUACGCGAGCUGGGUUUAGAACGUCGUGAGACAGUUCGGUCCCUAUCUGCCGUGGGCGCUGGAGAACUGAGGGGGGCUGCUCCUAGUACGAGAGGACCGGAGUGGACGCAUCACUGGUGUUCGGGUUGUCAUGCCAAUGGCACUGCCCGGUAGCUAAAUGCGGAAGAGAUAAGUGCUGAAAGCAUCUAAGCACGAAACUUGCCCCGAGAUGAGUUCUCCCUGAGACUUAGAGUCUCCUGAAGGAACGUUGAAGACGACGACGUUGAUAGGCCGGGUGUGUAAGCGCAGCGAUGCGUUGAGCUAACCGGUACUAAUGAACCGUGAGGCUUAACCUUACA